Molecule: small nuclear RNA, 104 nt
Organism: Suncus etruscus (white-toothed pygmy shrew)
Lineage: Eukaryota; Metazoa; Chordata; Mammalia; Eulipotyphla; Soricidae
Source: RefSeq, a predicted model, not a curated record
GUGCUUGCUUUGGCAGCACAUAUUCUAAAAAUGGAAUGAUACAGAGAUUAGCAUGGCUUCUGCGCAAGAUUGAUAUGAAAAUUCGUGAAGUGUUCCAUAUUAAA